GACGAACGCUGGCGGCGUGCUUAACACAUGCAAGUCGAACGGAAAGGCCCUGCUUUUGUGGGGUGCUCGAGUGGCGAACGGGUGAGUAACACGUGAGUAACCUGCCCUUGACUUUGGGAUAACUUCAGGAAACUGGGGCUAAUACCGGAUAGGAGCUCCUGCUGCAUGGUGGGGGUUGGAAAGUUUCGGCGGUUGGGGAUGGACUCGCGGCUUAUGAGCUUGUUGGUGGGGUAGUGGCUUACAAAGGCUUUGACGGGUAGCCGGCCUGAGAGGGUGACCGGCCACAUUGGGACUGAGAUACGGCCCAGACUCCUACGGGAGGCAGCAGUGGGGAAUAUGGCACAAUGGGCGGAAGCCUGAUGCAGCAACGCCGCGUGCGGGAUGACGGCCUUCGGGUUGUAAACCGCUUUCGCCUGUGACGAAGCGUGAGUGACGGUAAUGGGUAAAGAAGCACCGGCUAACUACGUG
Molecule: ribosomal RNA, 468 nt
Filed under: uncultured bacterium
Lineage: Bacteria
Description: partial 16S ribosomal RNA
Rfam family: Bacterial small subunit ribosomal RNA
Source: RNAcentral